UGGUGGAGUGAUUUGUCUGGUUAAUUCCGUUAACGAGCGAGACCUCGACUGCUAAAUAGAACCAGCAUGGAUCUGCCUGGUGAAUCGGUUGCGUGGUGGCGCUUCACGGCGUCGCUGCCCAAUCGUGGAUCCUUGAUCCCAUGUUGGUCCUUCUUAUCAGGACUUUUGGCAUCCAGUCAAAGGAAGUUCGAGGCAAUAACA
This 201-nucleotide ribosomal RNA is filed under the name uncultured eukaryote. RNAcentral's name for it is "partial 18S ribosomal RNA". It matches the Rfam family "Eukaryotic small subunit ribosomal RNA", at positions 1299 to 1458 of the family's 1831-position model. The record is from RNAcentral.